Molecule: ribosomal RNA, 483 nt
Filed under: uncultured bacterium
Lineage: Bacteria
Description: bacterial SSU rRNA
Rfam family: Bacterial small subunit ribosomal RNA
Source: RNAcentral
GAUGAACGCUAGCGGCAGGCUUAACACAUGCAAGUCGAGGGGUAUAGUUCUUCGGAAUUAGAGACCGGCGCACGGGUGCGUAACGCGUAUGCAAUCUACCUUUCACAGAGGGAUAGCCCCAGAGAAAUUUGGAUUAAUACCUCAUAGUAUAGCAGUUUCGCAUGAAACCACUAUUAAAGUCACAACGGUGAAAGAUGAGCAUGCGUCCCAUUAGCUAGUUGGUAAGGUAACGGCUUACCAAGGCAACGAUGGGUAGGGGUCCUGAGAGGGAGAUCCCCCACACUGGUACUGAGACACGGACCAGACUCCUACGGGAGGCAGCAGUGAGGAAUAUUGGUCAAGUGGGCGCAAGCCUGAACCAGCCAUGCCGCGUGCAGGAAGACGGUCCUAUGGAUUGUAAACUGCUUUAUACACGGAAGAAACACUCCGACGUGUCGGAGCUUGCGGUAACUGUAAGAAUAAGGAUCGGACUAACUCCGUGCC